This 481-nucleotide ribosomal RNA is filed under the name Vittaforma corneae. Its description in RNAcentral is "SSU rRNA". It matches the Rfam family "Microsporidia small subunit ribosomal RNA", at positions 46 to 559 of the family's 1311-position model. Lineage: Eukaryota; Fungi; Microsporidia; Nosematidae. The record is from RNAcentral.
AGCCAUGCAUGUUUCCGCAAUCAGGGACGAAUAGCUCAGUAAAACUGCGAUGAUUUAGUCUGGCUGUGUAGAUAACUACGUGAAAAUGUAGCUAAGGGAAGGCAGAAUAAGACGCAGGACUAUCAGUUAGUUGGUAGUGUAAUGGACUACCAAGACAGUGACGGUUGACGGGAAAUUAGGGUUUUGUACCGGAGAGGGAGCCUGAGAGAUUGCUCCCACGUCCAAGGACGGCAGCAGGCGCGAAAAUUGCCCACUCUUUGCAGGAGGCAGUUAUGAGACGUGAAGAUGAGUAUCUUGUAAAGAGGGAUAGGAGAAUUGGAGGGCAAGUUUGGUGCCAGCAGCCGCGGUAAUACCGACUCCAAGAGUGUGUAUGAGAGAUGCUGCAGUUAAAAAGUCCGUAGUCAUAGAAGGGCAAAGAGAGAUGCGAGGUCUCACAGUGCGAUGAUGGAGGAGCCGAUGGGGAACAUAGUAUACCAGGGCG